Molecule: ribosomal RNA, 484 nt
Filed under: uncultured bacterium
Lineage: Bacteria
Description: partial 16S ribosomal RNA
Rfam family: Bacterial small subunit ribosomal RNA
Source: RNAcentral
AUUGAACGCUGGCGGCAGGCCUAACACAUGCAAGUCGAGCGGAUGAAGGGAGCCUGCUCCUGGAUUCAGCGGCGGACGGGUGAGUAAUGCCUAGGAAUCUGCCUGGUAGUGGGGGAUAACGUCCGGAAACGGGCGCUAAUCCCGCAUACGUCCUGAGGGAGAAAGUGGGGGUUCUUCGGACCUCACGCUAUCAGAUGACCCUAGGUCGGAUUAGCUAGUUGGUGGGGUAAGGGCCUACCAAGGCGACGAUCCGUAACUGGUCUGAGAGGAUGAUCAGUCACACUGGAACUGAGACACGGUCCAGACUCCUACGGGAGGCAGCAGUGGGGAAUAUUGGACAAUGGGCGAAAGCCUGAUCCAGCCAUGCCGCGUGUGUGAAGAAGGUCUUCGGAUUGUAAAGCACUUUAAGUUGGGAGGAAGGGCAGUAAGUUAAUACCUUGCUGUUUUGACGUUACCAACAGAAUAAGCACCGGCUAACUUCGUG